UAUUGGUCAAUGGGCGGGAGCCUGAACCAGCCAAGUCGCGUGAGGGAGGACGGCCCUACGGGUUGUAAACCUCUUUUGCCGGGGGACAAACGGCGGCACGCGUGCCGUCCUGAGGGUACCCGGAGAAAAAGCAUCGGCUAACUCCGUGCCAGCAGCCGCGGUAAUACGGAGGAUGCGAGCGUUAUCCGGAUUUAUUGGGUUUAAAGGGUGCGUAGGCUGUGAGGUAAGUCAGCGGUGAAAUGCCCCCGCUCAACGGGGUGAAGUGCCAUUGAUACUGCCUUGCUGGAAUGCGGAUGCCGUGGGAGGAAUGUGUGGUGUAGCGGUGAAAUGCAUAGAUAUCACACAGAACACCGAUUGCGAAGGCAUCUCACGAAUCCGCGAUUGACGCUGAUGCACGAAAGCGUGGGUAUCAAACAGG
This 418-nucleotide ribosomal RNA is filed under the name uncultured bacterium. RNAcentral's name for it is "bacterial SSU rRNA". It matches the Rfam family "Bacterial small subunit ribosomal RNA", at positions 362 to 776 of the family's 1533-position model. The record is from RNAcentral.